Molecule: ribosomal RNA, 834 nt
Filed under: uncultured beta proteobacterium
Lineage: Bacteria; Pseudomonadati; Pseudomonadota; Betaproteobacteria
Description: bacterial SSU rRNA
Rfam family: Bacterial small subunit ribosomal RNA
Source: RNAcentral
UAUGCACGGACUUCGGCCUGGUGGUUAGUGGCGAACGGGUGAGUAAUAUAUCGGAACGUGCCCAGAUCGCUGGGGGAUAACGUAGUGAAAAUUUAACGCUAAUACCUGCAUACGAUCUACGGAUGAAAGCGGGGGAUCGCACAGACCUCGGCGCGAUUGGAGGCGGCCGAUAUCAGAUUAGUAGUUGGUGAGGUAAAGGCUCACCAAGCCAACGAUCUGUAGCUGGUCUGAGACGACGACCAGCCACACUGGAACUGAGACACGGUCCAGACUCCUACGGGAGGCAGCAGUGGGGAAUUUUGGACAAUGGACGCAAGUCUGAUCCAGCCAUUCCGCGUGCAGGACGAAGGCCUUCGGGUUGUAAACUGCUUUUGUACAGAACGAAAAGGUUUCUAUUAAUACUAGGAGCUCAUGACGGUACUGUAAGAAUAAGCACCGGCUAACUACGUGCCAGCAGCCGCGGUAAUACGUAGGUGCAAGCGUUAAUCGGAAUUACUUGGGCGUAAAGCGUGCGCAGGCGGUUAUUGUACAGACACGAGGUGAAAUCCCCGGGGCUCAAACUGGGAACUGCCUUUGUUGACUGCAUAGCUGGAGUACGGCAGAGGGGGAUGGAAUUCCGGUGUAGCCAGUGAAAUGCGUAGAAUAUUGCGGAGGAACAACACGAUUGGCCGAAAGGCAAUCCCCUGGCUGUACUGACGCAUCAUUGGCACGAAAGCGUGGGGAGCACACAGGAUCGAUCCCCUGGUUAUUCAACCCCUAAAACUCAACGGUGUUGGGAUUUCACACAGAGCAACAACCUACGUAAAUUACGCCUGGAGAUACGGCGCAAGGUGU